CCUUAAAGUGGCUCAGUUGGUGGAGCAUUGUGUUAAUAACGCAAAGGUUGUGGUUUCAAAUUCCAGGGAAAGCA
Non-coding RNA from Danionella cerebrum, 74 nucleotides. The record is from the annotation of a GenBank genome assembly. Lineage: Eukaryota; Metazoa; Chordata; Actinopteri; Cypriniformes; Danionidae.